GGUCCUACCAUGCUGGAUGGGAGAGUUGUGUUAUACCAUGUGGACAUGGAGGGAGGAGGGAGGUCCUACCAUGCUGGAUGGGGGAGUUGUGUUAUACCAUGUGGACAUGGAGGGAGGAGGGAGGUCCUACCAUGCUGGAUGGGGGAGUUGUGUUAUACCAUGUGGACAUGGAGGGAGGAGGGAGGUCCUACCAUGCUGGAUGGGGGAGUUGUGUUAUACCAUGUGGACAUGGAGGGAGGAGGGAGGUCCUACCAUGCUGGAUGGGAGAGUUGUGUUAUACCAUGUGGACAUGGAGGGAGGAGGGAGGUCCUACCAUGCUGGAUGGGGGAGUUGUGUUAUACCAUGUGGACAUGGAGGGAGGAGGGAGGUCCUACCAUGCUGGAUGGGGGAGUUGUGUUAUACCAUGUGGACAUGGAGGGAGGAGGGAGGUCCUACCAUGCUGGAUGGGGGAGUUGUGUUAUACCAUGUGGACAUGGAGGGAGGAGGGAGGUCCUACCAUGCUGGAUGGGAGAGUUGUGUUAUACCAUGUGGACAUGGAGGG
Molecule: long non-coding RNA, 541 nt
Organism: Oncorhynchus keta (chum salmon)
Lineage: Eukaryota; Metazoa; Chordata; Actinopteri; Salmoniformes; Salmonidae
Exons: 3
Source: RefSeq, a predicted model, not a curated record